RNAcentral lists this long non-coding RNA (2771 nucleotides) under Panax ginseng (ginseng). Its description in RNAcentral is "long non-coding RNA (PGIN_LNC004913)". Lineage: Eukaryota; Viridiplantae; Streptophyta; Magnoliopsida; Apiales; Araliaceae. The record is from RNAcentral.
GAAAAUACAAACAUAAACUUCUUAUACUUCAUUCACUGUGCAUUAUCUUGCAACUCUUGUUAUCCAUGCCGACAACUUACUAUAUGUGCAAAGAGCAUUAAAAUCUCUUCAUAAAUCCAACCACACAAGUGAAACAUGCCAUUAUUACCCUCUCACGGGAUUUCUACAAUAUAAACAAACAAAAGAAAACAUGAUUUACCUCCAGCAAACAUGAUUUACUAUGACUAAUUUUUGGACAAAUAAGAGAUACUAGGUAAACAGAAAAAUGAAUCACACUUUGCUGCUGCUUGAGGAUCUUUAAUGGACUUUACCAUAUCAACUGUCUCUUGGUUGUUCAUCACCUGUGCACCAGAGAAAUGCAGUUGGAUAAGCUAAUUGACCAAUCAACUCGAGAAAAUGUUAAAAAGAUAGAAAAUAAAAGGAGGUUUCUAUGAGAAGGAAGACACAACAGAAGACCCCCAAGCAUUGAUAUAAGAUCUAAGAUAAGAAUGUCCAGCUUCAUUACACAACUAUUUAAUUGAUACGUCAAGCAUAGUUAAUAAACAUAACCAAUUCACAAAAAAUAAAUCAAAAUCAUAAACACUUGAAAUAUACAUCACGAUGAAUCAUGAGUUAUGAACAAAUACCACCUAUCAAGUAAAAUGAACAGAAAAAUGAUAGAUAGGGGCUUUGACAUAUCAAGUGAAAUAGUGGACUACUCGAUUCAAAGAUGAUUUAAUUUAAAAUUUCACAUAAAAAAGUUGAUAAAUACUACAAAAACAAAGAAAACCAACAUCUUACAUAAUUUAGCUAUUGUUGAACAUGAUAAAUAACAUGUUACUGGAAUUUAGAGAUGCUUACAAAGGGAUUAACAUAGUACCAGCUCAGUGGAGUGUAGGCCACCCAUCAAAUGCUCAUGGUCCUCUCCUAACUAUAUAAAUAUAUAUUAAUAUUUCUAUACACAAAGAAUGGCAACCAAUUGGUAAUAGAAAGAAAAAAUGAAAAACUUUACUUUUUCCACUUUGACAUGACUCUACAAGAAUGACAACCAAUGGAUAAUAGAAUAUCAUCUGCUCACCAAAUGUAACAUUCUAUUCUUAAGUAAUUCCAACUUCCAAAUUAGAAAAAUUCUUAGACUUAGCCAAGUGACAAUUAAGGAACUUGAUAUUAAAUUAGUAAAUUGGUUACUAAAACUUUUGACAGGGUGGCCAAUCUUAUGCUAAGCAUAUAAUACAAUGCAGGCAUGAUAUGCAAUUAACAGAUGCAUCUUCUAUGGAAGAGGUUUACUCAUUACAAAGAGAUGUUUCAAAGUGGAAGAAUUUCUACUUCAUGGACUGUGUAGGGAGGGCUAUAAGGCUGCAAAAAAAAAUUCAAAAAAAAAAGACUAGUUAUCUUUGGUUUUUAAUCUUCAACAAUCUGUCCCCAUCUUAUCUUCCAAAUUAGAUGAUAGAUAAUGUAAUAACCAAACACAUGUAUAAAAGUUAUCUUUGGUUUUCAAUCUUCAAUAAAAUAAAUGUUUAUCUUAUCUACAUGCCUAACAAAUUUGCGUUAAAUUGCUUAGUUUUGCAUAAUAGUUGAACUAAAGUCAUCUCCUUUAGCUAAGAAUCUUAUGCCCUAUUGAAAACAUCAAGCACAAAAUCUUAAGCAGAAUAAUAGUUUUGCAACUCCUAUUUAGUUCUGCAUAAUAGUUGAUUUUGUGCUCAACUCCUGUUUGGAGUAAACCCAAGGGCUAAAGCUACCUUACUUAUAAGUCAUAACUUUGUCAAAUUCUUCAACUCAAAAGAAACUGCAUCAGUCUUCUCAUCAAUAUUAUUCUCAAUUCUUAGACACUUCUAAACUCAUCAAAUUCACAUAAAUGUAACUAUGCGCAAGAACAGGAAAUUAUCACUGUAAAAUUUGAGAACUUUACAAUUGUUUAUGAGGCUAGAGCAUAAAUGAUUGGAAUAUUCAUCAAAUUGCAAAAAAUUCUCAAAAUUCAACAGAAGCUCUGAUUUUCAUCUACCUAGCAUUCAUUCUUUCUUACUGCCCAAAAAGGCUAAAUAUACUAAAAAAUUACAACUGGUAAAAAAGUAUCAACAAAGCGACAAUCAUAUUAAGGUCAAUUUAAUCAGUUAUUAAGGCAAUUUCCAACUUCUAUUUUCUUUUCAGAAACAAAUUAUGUGGUCUGAUUAAGUCCAUUGAAAGUCGGCUUUCAAUAAACAAGAAUGGGUUCUAACACAUAACAUUAUAUGGGUUCUAUACAAACUAUGGGUUCUAGCACAUAGUAUUAAAGCUAAAGAACAUUAAGUAUAUAUUCAGAAGAACAGAGGAACAAUUUGAGUUCCAAAUCAAGUAUAUAAAUUUCAAGUACCGAAUUGAAUUUCAUCGACUUUCUCCAAAAUAUCAUCAGUAAACAAUUUCUGAAACGGAGGAAGUAAACAACUUCCUACUGUUAAAUAGAAGACAGACUUGGGGCUGGGCUGGAGCUGGAUGGCGGGAGGAGAAGACGCGCGAAGGCGGCAUCGGAGGGAGGGGAAGAAUAGGACUCUAGGGCUUGAGGGGGAUCGAACUGAGGGGCUUCAAUUUUCCAGCAAUCGCGUGGAUCAAGGGCUUCAAUUUCUCUCUCUUCGAUUUUGCAGCAAUCAAUUUCAAGGAUUCCGAUUAUAGUAGCUUCGAUUUUGCAGCAAGGUGAUUUCUGGAGGGGAACUCGUUUGAGAGCUAAGUCGAGUGAGGAGAGAGAAUUAAAAACACGUAGCUUCUAAAUAGGAAUGCUUUUUAAGCAAAUAAUGCUAUUUAGCAGUAAUGCUUUUAAA